GACGAACGCUGGCGGCGUGCUUAACACAUGCAAGUCGAACGGAAAGGCCCUGCUUGCAGGGUACUCGAGUGGCGAACGGGUGAGUAACACGUGGGUGAUCUGCCCUGCACUUCGGGAUAAGCCUGGGAAACUGGGUCUAAUACCGGAUAGGAGCCAUUUUUAGUGUGAUGGUUGGAAAGUUUUUUCGGUGUAGGAUGAGCUCGCGGCCUAUCAGCUUGUUGGUGGGGUAAUGGCCUACCAAGGCGGCGACGGGUAGCUGGCCUGAGAGGGUGGACGGCCACACUGGGACUGAGAUACGGCCCAGACUCCUACGGGCGGCAGCAGUGGGGAAUAUUGCACAAGGGACGCAAGCCUGAUGCAGCGACGCCGCGUGGGGGAUGACGGCCUUCGGGUUGUAAACUCCUUUCGCUAGGGACGAAGCUUUUUGUGACGGUACCUAGAUAAGAAGCACCGGCUAACUACGUG
Molecule: ribosomal RNA, 465 nt
Filed under: uncultured bacterium
Lineage: Bacteria
Description: partial 16S ribosomal RNA
Rfam family: Bacterial small subunit ribosomal RNA
Source: RNAcentral